AGGUACCGCGCAUACACUCCGCUUCCUGCGCGCCGUGUGCACCCACCCUGAUGAUUGCUCGCUACGGUUUACCAGUC
This 77-nucleotide small RNA is filed under the name Xanthomonas cucurbitae. RNAcentral's name for it is "sX9 sRNA". It matches the Rfam family "Xanthomonas sRNA sX9". Lineage: Bacteria; Pseudomonadati; Pseudomonadota; Gammaproteobacteria; Lysobacterales; Lysobacteraceae. The record is from RNAcentral. RNAcentral also lists the same sequence under 1 other name.